UUGACCUCGGAUCAGGUAGGGAUACCCGCUGAACUUAAGCAUAUCAAUAAGCGGAGGAAAAGAAACCAACCGGGAUUGCCUCAGUAACGGCGAGUGAAGCGGCAAGAGCUCAAAUUUGAAAGCUGGCCCCUCCGGGGUCCGCGUUGUAAUUUGCAGAGGAUGCUUUGGGUGCGGCCCCCGUCUAAGUGCCCUGGAACGGGCCGUCAGAGAGGGUGAGAAUCCCGUCUUGGGCGGGGUGUCCGUGCCCGUGUAAAGCUCCUUCGACGAGUCGAGUUGUUUGGGAAUGCAGCUCUAAAUGGGUGGUAAAUUUCAUCUAAAGCUAAAUACUGGCCGGAGACCGAUAGCGCACAAGUAGAGUGAUCGAAAGAUGAAAAGCACUUUGAAAAGAGAGUUAAACAGCACGUGAAAUUGUUGAAAGGGAAGCGCUUGCGACCAGACUCGCCCUCGGGGUUCAGCCGGCACUCGUGCCGGUGUACUUCCCCGGGGGCGGGCCAGCGUCAGCUUGGGCGGCCGGUCAAAGGCCUCCGGAAUGUAGUGCCCCCCGGGGCACCUUAUAGCCGGAGGUGCAAUGCGGCCAGCCUGGGCUGAGGAACGCGCUUCGGCACGGACGCUGGCAUAAUGGUCGCAA
This 628-nucleotide ribosomal RNA is filed under the name Aspergillus carbonarius. RNAcentral's name for it is "partial 28S ribosomal RNA". It matches the Rfam family "Eukaryotic large subunit ribosomal RNA", at positions 1 to 643 of the family's 3401-position model. The record is from RNAcentral. Lineage: Eukaryota; Fungi; Ascomycota; Eurotiomycetes; Eurotiales; Aspergillaceae.